CAAAAAUGAUGAAGGCUGCAAACGAGAGGGUUCUUUCGCAGCUUAAGUCUUCUCUGCUGAAAAAAAGGCAAAGGACAUCCACCCCCUCACAAAGUGAGGAAGAUGAUGUAGACAUAGACACCAAUACAGACCUUUUUGAUUCACCCCAAGCUUCUGGAACAGCUGACCCCUGCUUUAGGCAACAGGAAAUGGAGUGUGGCCCGAUGAAUCAGGCACUGGAAAACAUAGACAGGCACCAGGAAGUGAUAGAUGCAUUAAAAGAAAUACCCACCCUUAUCAAUUGUGUUAAGGAACUAACAACCACUAUAAAGCGUUUGCUACCUUCCUUCGACAGUGAUACAAGUUCAGGGUCCUCCAGUCCUGCUCCAGAAAUGGUUUCCUUGGGCAACUCAGCAGUUAUGGUGAACCGAAGAUGUUUUAAAAGAUUGAACAGAACAAGGAUGUCCCUUUUUGCCCAGGAUUUAGCUGUUCUACUCUUUGGUCGCAACAUUUUAGCUUCCUCAAGCCUUACAGGCAAUGGAACGGAAAAGGAUCCCUUAGAUUCUGAAAAGUUGAAUGCUCUUGUUGACACAGUAAUAUCCGAGUUCCCAGGAACAAGUGUGUCUGAAGUGAGAGCUGUCAUAAGACGAAAGUGCAACAAUGAAAAUUCUGUUUCAAAGAAGAAGAUGUAGGUUUGAUUGUGAUUUUGUGUUUUGUUUUCACUCACACACACUCACUCACACACACACACACGUGUGUGCAAGGGCAGUGUACACCAGGGUUUACAUGGAUGUUAGGCAUGUUACUUUAGGCUGUAAGUUGCAUAAUUUUAUUUAUUUAAUUAUUUAUUUUACAUGUUUCUACCUCAAAUAAGUUUGAAAUGGUUUGAUUUUGCCAAUGAAUGCAAAACUUGAUAUAUUUUUGAAAAUAUCUAUAUAUUUUUGUUUGCCCAUUAUUUUCCAACUAAUGGGCCUUGCCAAAAUUUCCCUUUGUCAUUUGCUGUUGUUCUUUAGUCAGUAGAGGCACAAUGAAAGUGUGUAAGAUCAUUUUGAUUGUGUUCGUUAGCGAUUGUUAAAGAAUUUACUAAAGUAAGAGUUUAAGAAUGUUUUAAACAGUCUAAAGGUUUUUCUGUUUAGUGAUAAAUAUACUUAAAACAUGCUGUUUUGUUACACUGAUAAAGCAUUUAGUUUGCCAUUAAGUGCUAAUAAAGACAUGUUAAGAACAAA
Molecule: long non-coding RNA, 1205 nt
Organism: Brienomyrus brachyistius
Lineage: Eukaryota; Metazoa; Chordata; Actinopteri; Osteoglossiformes; Mormyridae
Exons: 5
Source: RefSeq, a predicted model, not a curated record